Molecule: long non-coding RNA, 1381 nt
Filed under: Struthio camelus australis
Lineage: Eukaryota; Metazoa; Chordata; Aves; Struthioniformes; Struthionidae
Description: lncRNA (ENSSCUG00000002466.1)
Source: RNAcentral
AUGCUUCUUGCUUUACUAGAAAGGUUCAACUCAAGAAUUGGCCGCUUUCAUCCUAGGUCGCAACUAAGUACUGUUUCCACCCCUGUGUGGCCUACGGAAGAACUGAUCAAUGUGCGAGGACAUUGGUGAGUGAUGUUCAGAUAGUGCAGAAAAGCCUUACGGAUGCAUGAAGACCUUAGACCUGCCGCCUUAUGGAUGCAUGAAGACCUUAGACCCUGGCAGUGGAACAAUAUGCCCCAGACUAAAGAGAUGAGAAAACGAAAGAAGCAAAAUGAAAGGAACAAAUGUGGAAGUUUGAAAUUGCAUUCCAUGGUCCUGUGCCACAUUUCAUCAGCGUUUUUCCUUUGCUUUCUCCAAAGACUGGCCACAUGUGGUGUGUAGAUUGCUGGUGCUGUUUGGGAUCUCAUAUCAAAUACUGCUACCUAAUCCCAGGCGGGCCUUGGCGGGCCCACACCUGCAGCUGAUUGAAUCCUCCCGGAGUACAAAGGCCUGAUUUACAGCAUCAAGGAUACAGGGCCUGGUUGCAGCUGGGCUCCAGCAGGAAAAGGAAGUUGUUCAUCAUCUUGUGUGCAUUUCAUUAACAAUAGUGUACCCGAUAUGUAGCUUAUACAAUAAUUUCAAAUCACUGACAGAGAGCAUUAUGGUAUUUGGCAUUAGGAGGAAAAAUACUUCAGGAUGGGCAAAUUAAAUGUGAGCGUGAGGUUUUCAUGUGACCCGGUGUAGUUCCACAAGCUGAUUUACACUGGGAGGGCUAAUCUUGAAAUAUUUUGUUUCUUUAACUUUAUCCCAUUUCUUUCCCUUUGCCUGAUGAGCAAACCGUUAGAGCGCAGUGAGCCUCGGUGUACAAACGUGACGGUAAGCCGCUUCAAGUUAUACCCCUUUUCAAAAGAAAGAGCCCAAAAAAGAGUACCAAAGAAAGGGGUGGUAAUAGCUACAAACUUUUUAUCAUUUUAAAAACAGGAAACUCAUGCUUCAUAAGUGAGCCUUGAGACACAUUUUGCCCCAGUCUCGCUGAGGGGACAGAGGGGUUCAUCUCUUCAAGCUUUCAGAUGCCUACAUUUGCAUUAGUUAGCCGUAUAGCCGUAGGAAGAAAUAGGCACCGUCAGGGUACAGUUCUUCAAGCCUAGAUGUCCCACCAUAAGUAACUACAGUCCUCUGAAUUCAGAAGAAGUUGUGGGCAUUUGUUUCUUUGCAAGAUGCAUUUUGCACUCUUGGAAUUGAUCUGGAACUUUUCUGUCUAUUCAGUGACUUAGCUCAUCUGUAGUGAAUGACUCUUUGCAAAGUUAUAUUCUUUGUGAAAUUGUGUCUUUCAUGUAUUCAGCUCUCAUUCCACAUUUUUGGGAGGGUGACUUGAUUUCUUAUUUCAGCAGAGGUAAUAUAU